AUUCAUCUCCGGGGGUAGAGCACUGUUUCGGCAAGGGGGUCAUCCCGACUUACCAACCCGAUGCAAACUGCGAAUACCGGAGAAUGUUAUCACGGGAGACACACGGCGGGUGCUAACGUCCGUCGUGAAGAGGGAAACAACCCAGACCGCCAGCUAAGGUCCCAAAGUCAUGGUUAAGUGGGAAACGAUGUGGGAAGGCCCAGACAGCCAGGAUGUUGGCUUAGAAGCAGCCAUCAUUUAAAGAAAGCGUAAUAGCUCACUGGUCGAGUC
This 270-nucleotide ribosomal RNA is filed under the name Shigella flexneri. RNAcentral's name for it is "partial 23S ribosomal RNA". It matches the Rfam family "Bacterial large subunit ribosomal RNA", at positions 888 to 1155 of the family's 2925-position model. Lineage: Bacteria; Pseudomonadati; Pseudomonadota; Gammaproteobacteria; Enterobacterales; Enterobacteriaceae. The record is from RNAcentral.